GAUGAACGCUGGCGGCGUGCUUAACACAUGCAAGUCGUACGGUAAGGCCCUAUCGGGGGUACACGAGUGGUGAACGGGGGCGUAACACGUACGUAACCUGCCCACAACUUUGGGAUUACGAUAGGAAACUGGAGCCAUUACUGGAUCUGUGCUCUUGCUUCAAGGUGGUGGUUGGAAAGUUCCGGCCGGUGUGGAUGGACUCGCGGCAUAUCAGCUUGUUGGAGGGGUAGUGGCCUACCAAGGCGGCGACGGGUAGCCGGCCUGAGUGGGUGACCGGCCAUACUGACACUGAGAUACGGCCCAGACACCUACGGUGCGCAGCUGUGCGAAAUAUUGCACAAGGGGCGCAAGCCGAGUGCAGCAACUCCGCGUGCGGGAUGACGGCCUUCGGAUUGUAAACCGCUUUCAGAAGUAACGGUGCUUAUUGUGACGGUACCUACAGAGGAAGCAACGGCUAACUACGUG
This 465-nucleotide ribosomal RNA is filed under the name uncultured bacterium. RNAcentral describes it as "partial 16S ribosomal RNA". It matches the Rfam family "Bacterial small subunit ribosomal RNA", at positions 28 to 507 of the family's 1533-position model. The record is from RNAcentral.